UUCCCUCUCUCUCAGUUUCUCUAUCUCCCUCUUUCCAUCUCCAUCUCUCUCUUGAACAGAAACCCCCAAACCCCAGCGAAAAUCGGUGGAAACUAAGACUCAACUGAUGCCACUGUUGCAAUGGAAAACUAAUGGCUGAUGGAAGUUGUUCAUUGGACUUCAUGAAACAAGGCGUUGCAUUUGACUUAAUGCCAGGUUCCAUGAUGAAGGGAAGAUGUUCGGUUUGCUGUGAACGACAUUUUGGUGACUGUGGAGAGCUUUCUAAACAGGAUGCAAAUAUUGAUGAUGAUCUGCACAGAGUGCAGCACAUAACGUACAAAAGAAAUUGUUCCUUGCUAUCAAAAUCCAGUAGAAUGUCUCAGAACUUCGUGUACGUAUACCAACGUAGAAAAGUCAAUAAGAAGUCUCCUUCAUUCUUCGAAAUUUUUUCAUCUGCCACUGCUAAAGCUAGUAAUGGUGGCCACUCUGCCUUCAGUUCUGAAGCUCCUCUGUUGGAUGCCAAAGAUUGUGCAGUUUCUGUUCCAGAGCGUGCGACAGAGGGUGUAAGAUCUCCUGUGCUGCAUCCAGUUGAAAACAGCAAAGUGGCUACAGCAUCCUCUAACGAGUUCCGUGCUGUGGAAGAAGCUGGUUCUGAAGAGGCCUUGACAAGUGAUGUAGACAGAAUUUUGAAUGAUUGCAAUGCUAAGGAUCAUUGUUCAUCAUCAAAAUCAUCUUUGGAACUUAGUUCACCUGUCCUGAAAGUUCAUACAGAUGAUGCAGGAGAGUGCUCCUCUUCUGGCACAGUGAUUACUGGGAAAGAGCCAGAAGAGAUUUCAGAAAGAGAUGCUUGCAUUUCAAUUCUUAGAAGUCAGGGAGUGCUCGAUAGAGUUUGGGUUAGAAGAGAUGGAGUGUCUAAUGAAAAAACUAACAAAUAUUGUUCCAAGUCGUGCAAGGUAUGUGAGCAGAGGGACAGCUCAAAAAACAUGCUGAUAUGUGAUAAUUGUGAAGAUGCAUUUCAUGCUUCUUGCUAUAAUCCUCGCAUAAAAAUAUUGCCACUUAGCGAGUGGCUUUGUAGCUCGUGUCUGAAAAAAAAGCAUAAAAUUUUGAACGAUAAAUCUGCAAGCAAUAAUCAGGAGAACACAGGCACAGAAACAGGCAUAAAUCGACAUUCAACAUGGGAAUUGGAACUGGGAUCCUUGGAGUUCAUGUUUACAGAUACUGAACCGUAUAUGUCCAACGUGCGAGUUGGCAAUGAAUUUCAAGCUGAUGUUCCUGAUUGGUGCGGCCCCGUUGAUGAGGAUUGCAAUUAUUUUGGCGAUGUAUUAGAAGUGCAUACUUCUAGUAACAUUGACACACAGGACAAGGACGCUAUCAAUUUUUUAAAGCACAGUCCUAUUGGUAAUUGGAUUCAGUGCCGUGAGGUCAUCGAAGGAGUUGGAGAAGGCAUUGAUGGAACUGUGUGUGGAAAAUGGCGCAGAGCCCCACUCAUUGAAGUCCAAACGGAUAACUGGGAAUGCUUUCGUUGCAUUCUUUGGGAUCCAACUCGUGCAGACUGUGCCGCACCCCAGGAACUAGAAACAGAAGAAGUAAUGAAGCAAUUGAAGUAUGUGGAGAUGUUGAGACCCCGGCUAGCUGCAAAAAAGUGCAAACUGGAGAAAUUGAAGGGAAGCUGCCCACGAGACCGUCGAGGUUUUGAAGAAAGGCGAAGAUGAUGGGAGGCGGCUAGGAAGUUGUAGAUGAGUAGAAGGCUGUUAGUUUUGAACCACAUAUCGAAAUGCAAAAUAUGCAUCGAAAGGUGGUUUUAGUGUUGAAAUUUCUGAUGAAUGGAAAGCCAUGUUGAUGAUCUGAUGAAUGGAAAUUCAGUGUUACUAGGGGCAUUUUGGUAAGAGUGGCUUAUAUGAUUUCAACUCUAGGAACAUAUAUGCAUUAAUUUUUUAUAAAAAAAUUGCAUUUUAUUAAGUAGAAUAAAUGAUAGCCUAAUAGUUUAUGACAAUACCAAUACGAAAUCCAAAUAAUAUACAACUAUUUCAUUUCAUGCAUUACAGUAAUUUAUAUCAUAACCAAUAAAAUGGAUACAAAUAAAACAGAAACUCCAUAGAAAGAAAAUAUGUGAUGCAAUAGUGUUUCUUGUAUCAGAGUAUGUAAACACACAUACACAGUUUCAGCACAAAUGGUUCAGUAUUCUUCAACUAACUCUAUACUCUUUUUGUUAUUUUUCACUUUAUUCACUUUACAAUGGUAUCAAUAGAGUAUAGAGAUUAAUAAGCAAGAGUGUUCUCUUGAUUAUCUUGACUCCAGUUUGACUUGAAAGUCAGUUUCUGGAGAGGCAAUGUACUCGGAGAAUAUUCAACAUCAAUCUUGUGCUUCAGCCAGUCAUUGUAUUGUCGAUGAGGACAGCUGGUGUCGUCUUUCAGCAUGUACUCGAGCAUCAUCGCCCACUCUGUUACCCCUUUUGGCACCACUGGAUUGUACAUCCCGGUAGCCUUCAUAUAUGAAGCUUGCUGUAGAACAGGUGAUAGCUGUUACUGUAAAGUUUGAUUUUGCAGUGUUCAAUUACGAGAUUAUGUUCUAUUUUCAGCUGCUUACCUGUAUGAAUUGUUAAAAUGCUCCUGUUUUUCCUUCUGCCUGUGUAUGUGUAAUGUAUUAAACAAUCUACCAUGAAUCAAAUCGGAUCUUAGUGAUUUUAAUAUCCAGUGUUUUGCUAAAACUUUGUUGGUGAAUGAUCAUUAUUGUUGAUUGCAUAUGUUUUUGUUCUGAUGUUUUUAUGGAUAUUCUGUUUUUUAUGCUGACUUUUAUGUUCAUGAGCCUUGUCUAUAGUGUGAGCCUCUUUAAGACGCGAAAUUCUUAUCCGACUUUCUUCUUCUAGGCAAAGAUAGCAUUGGACUGCCUUGAAGUGCCUGUGGGCACCAAAACUGCACAGAACAGUCAUCCCGCAGGUGUAGUUCUAUCCCUUGUCAAUUUCGGUUUUACUGCCAUGUGAAGAGAUAUUGUUCCUGCUAUCUCUAGUCGACUAGUUGAGCACAAAUCGGAGAAUCUCGAUGCCUUCUUCUCAUUGCUCAGCCUGCUGUGCAGAUUCUACAAUGCUGAUGGAGCAAGCUGACUAAGAACGUUAAUGUUUGCCAACCACAUUUAAUUUUGGUGAUUUUGCAGCAUUUAGUUUUAGGAUUUGAAUUGGGAAUCAAAUCUAUCAGACUCCAUCACUGCUAUGCUGGUUCUGACUCAAGUUUUGUUCUACAUAUUGUAAAUGCUUCUUGUCUGGAUCUCCAACUAACAACUUACAUUGUAACAUUUUAAUCUAUUUUUCCAUUAUAUUUACAUGGUCUCUGCCAAUUUAUUUGAUAUUUAA
Molecule: RNA transcript, 3325 nt
Organism: Salvia splendens (bonfire salvia)
Lineage: Eukaryota; Viridiplantae; Streptophyta; Magnoliopsida; Lamiales; Lamiaceae
Gene name: protein let-418
Exons: 10
Source: RefSeq, a predicted model, not a curated record